This is a long non-coding RNA of Suricata suricatta (meerkat), 580 nucleotides long. RefSeq lists it as uncharacterized. The transcript is spliced from 4 exons. The record is from RefSeq and is a predicted model, not a curated record. Lineage: Eukaryota; Metazoa; Chordata; Mammalia; Carnivora; Herpestidae.
UGUCUAGCCAACCAGCUCCACCCAACUUGGACAAAGCUUCUGGUUACAUUUCUAAUACAAAUAAAUAGUCUAAGGUCACCACAUACUACACAGCAGCAGCUAUCUCCUGAAUCACUGCCCAGUUGCCAGCUGCGAUCCUAGCUCCAAAGACUUUAAUGUCCACCGCACAAAGCCAGAAGAAUCUUUGAAUGGUGAUGCUGUCAGGCAACAGCAGAAGAGUUGGUGUUUUGAAGUCAGGCACAGUUCACCCAAGCUUUGGCAUUAAUUUCAUUGGCACAGAGAGAGAAGACAUUGCUGACUGCCAGGAGGAUGUCUGACAUUUGGGGCCAGAAAAUACUUUAUUGUGAGAAGCUGUCCUAUUCAUGUGAGAUGUUCAGCAGCAUGCCUGGCCUUUACCACCUAACUGGAUGCCAUUAGUACCCCUACUAAUUGUGGCAAUCAAAAAUUUUCUAGAUUUGCCAAUUAUAUUCUGCUCAAUCUACCUCCCAGAAGUUGGGGGGCAUUGCCUCUGGUUGAGAACCACUGGUUUAUGCAAUUGUCCUGGCAUUAUCCUUUCACCAUUAAGUUAUCUUGGCACCUU